CCCUGUCGUGCAUGCCGAAUGAAUGAGGUGCCUGCACACGCACGCCUUUCGGUUUAAGUCUCUUCUUCUUCGCAUGUGCCGGCCGCCAACCACCACUAAUCUCCGUACUACAAGCAAGCUACGCCGUCGCUUUCUGGACAGGUGGAUGGAUGGCUCGAGGCAACAGUUCAUGCACAAGGUGGUCAUUAUGUCUGGGAGAUGGGCCGGCGGUACGUACGCGUGCAGGGUGCGUGCACAGCAUCAAAUCUGGCUGCUUCAUGAGAGGAGAGGAGAGCGGCUGCGGUAUGGUUUGCGAGUGCGACGUCGAUCGACACUCAUCAUUCAUUUUCUUGGCCUUGGAGGAAACAUGGAGGCGAAGAACAAGUCCACGAGUGCGUGCGUGCAUGCGUGCGGGCUUGCAGCGGUUGCUGUCCGGGCGGCUGACUCCGCCCACCCUCCGCGCCGCGGAUCCAGGGGAGAUUAAGUAAACGCAGGCUUGACUUUAUUUACCGGCCGGCCUAAUUCAACAGACUGUUCGGAAGUGCAUGGGUUCGUUCAAACCACAUGCUUUCCUGAGGUCAAAUGUUUUGGUGACCUUGCACGUACGUAUAUUGUACGUGGCUGAAAAGCUCUUGUACGCGUACGGUGCUCCUCGCGUUGCACGGUGAUGCCAUUGUGGUCUUGCAAUAUCCAAACUAUAUUAUGCAUUGUCUUCA
Molecule: long non-coding RNA, 695 nt
Organism: Triticum aestivum (bread wheat)
Lineage: Eukaryota; Viridiplantae; Streptophyta; Magnoliopsida; Poales; Poaceae
Exons: 2
Source: RefSeq, a predicted model, not a curated record